RNAcentral lists this long non-coding RNA (803 nucleotides) under Homo sapiens (human). RNAcentral describes it as "HSALNT0199880". The record is from RNAcentral. Lineage: Eukaryota; Metazoa; Chordata; Mammalia; Primates; Hominidae.
CUAAAGUAGACUGGAGUGGAGCCUGAACUCACCAGUAGAGUUUUUCUAAUGGCAAAGCCUGUGCUUUCUGUGACUACGAUACAGAGGCCUGUUGAUGAAGGCCUCUCCUCAUGGUCAUUGCUACAGGAAGGGAUGGUCUUGGGGCUGUUCCCUCCCAUCCUUGUCCAAGCAUAGCUUUUUCUACUCCUGAGAGUCCUCAGACUGGCCUGACCUAUAGUUAGAUGGCAGGACCUCUGAGGCAACUAUUCCUGUACCCUCAGACAUCAGGCUCCAAAGUCUUUCAUAAAAGCAGCUCUUAGUCUUCCUCUAAUUCUUUCCUGUCUCCUUCCUAUAAGCCCCAGGACUUAAAAAGAAACAAACAACCUGGCAAAAAAAAAAAGCUUUCCCUUUGCUGCCUCAGUCUAAAAUUAAUUCUGUAGUGAAAAUAGACAUCUAGCUCAUAAGAUCAGAAAACAGCAAGACCCUGAAAUUCCAUUUCGGACCCAGCUGGGGCGUUUUUCUCUUACAAGUGAAACUCUCUCCACGUGUGUCUUCCACACAGCGAAGUAAUGGCAAACCCAGGGCAACAACCUGAACAUUUAGAUCCCAUGGGACAAGUAAAACCACCAGGAGAAGGGGAAUGAACUCCAAGAAACUAAAUGUCCGUCAGAUGUCAUGUUGACUCGCUCUGCUUUCACCUGUGAAGAUGCUGAUAUUAUACAAGUAUGUAUCUGUCACUGGUUGGCUCUUACCUACUCAUAUUUUGGGGUUCAUGAGCAUAUUUUGUUACCUAGAUUUUUGUAAGUGUUUGACAUGGAUUUGCG